RNAcentral lists this transfer RNA (66 nucleotides) under Agrilus sp. AGR01. RNAcentral's name for it is "tRNA-Glu". The record is from RNAcentral. Lineage: Eukaryota; Metazoa; Arthropoda; Insecta; Coleoptera; Buprestidae.
AUCAGUAUAGUUUAAAAAAAACAUUGUGCUUUCAUCACAAAAAUAAAUUUAUAAAUUUUACAGAUU